GAGGAUGAUGGCUCUGGCUUGCGGAUAGUGGUGGAUGAUUUCAUCCACAAGGCCAUCGUCGAGGUAAACGAGGAAGGGACUGAAGCCGCCACUGCCACCAUGGUCGUCCAGGGUCUUGGAUGCGCAAUGCCAUCACCUCCACGCGUGGAUUUCAUCACUGACCAUCCGUUUGCCUACUACAUAGUGGAGGAGGCGACCAGAGCUGUUGUCUUUGCGGGGCACGUCCUCGACCCCUCCAAGCAGUAA
Molecule: ribosomal RNA, 246 nt
Filed under: Triticum aestivum (bread wheat)
Lineage: Eukaryota; Viridiplantae; Streptophyta; Magnoliopsida; Poales; Poaceae
Description: partial small subunit ribosomal RNA
Source: RNAcentral